UAUUAAACUAUGAUGAAGAGAGUAAGUUUAAAAUAUUUUUAAGAGAAUGUGGGUCUUAGGCUGAAAGCCUACUAAAAUGUUUUAUACUGAAGUUCACUUCUGAGUUCUAAAAGUGAAAUAGUAGUAGCUUUUAGCGAUACAGUAUCGAUAACACUGACUAAGAGAAUAUAAAUUUUUAUUUAUAUUAAUUAGGGUGGUACCGCGGAUUUAGUUCGUCCCUUUA
This 223-nucleotide non-coding RNA is filed under the name Clostridium botulinum. RNAcentral's name for it is "T-box sequence". It matches the Rfam family "T-box leader". From Rfam's summary of the family: Uncharged tRNA acts as the effector for transcription antitermination of genes in the T-box leader family. T-boxes are found upstream of many aminoacyl-tRNA synthetase genes and some amino acid biosynthetic genes usually in Gram-positive bacteria. The record is from RNAcentral. Lineage: Bacteria; Bacillati; Bacillota; Clostridia; Eubacteriales; Clostridiaceae.